This 443-nucleotide long non-coding RNA is filed under the name Phoenix dactylifera (date palm). RNAcentral's name for it is "long non-coding RNA (PDAC_LNC010717)". Lineage: Eukaryota; Viridiplantae; Streptophyta; Magnoliopsida; Arecales; Arecaceae. The record is from RNAcentral.
GUCAAACUGCAGCAACCUCACUGUGAAUAGCCGAGGCAUCGCAGGUCAAAGGACCAGUCAUACAACUACAGCAUCAAGUAAGUCACUGACGAGUGGAUAGACAUCCAAGUGACUACUUGCCNNNNNNNNNNUUAGUACCCUUAUUUUCUAACAAGCACUUGCACAAUUGCUCCAGUGUCACCACACUGUGGACUCAAGACUCGUCCAUCAAAGAAAGCGAUCUGUGCACUAAUCUCAGCGGAUCGAUCACCGUCCUCGUGAUGAUCCAUCGAUCAGGAGCAAUUCAGAAAUUAAUCACCAAUGACACAUGCCUCAAAUUCUCAACUCUUGAGAAUAUGCGUCAUCAUCUUAUUAAUUUCUUGGACGAUUCAUGGACACAUAAGAACAUGAAUGAAAAGAAUGCCCAUUCUAAUAAAUUCAUUAUUAGGUCAAGUACAAAUUUA